GGGGGUUCAAGCAUCACUUACCAAGUAACAAGAGAGAGAGGGAUGAUGGCCACCUUAGAGCUUCAAACAAACUUCACUAGAACACUCACUAUCACCAAAAGAAAGGAUUUUAUGGAAUGAAAUCAAACCUAAACUCUUGUUUGUGGAAGAUUGAGUGAUAUGGAAGCUUGAAAGUUGGGAAAAUUUCUUCUUCUUUGAGAGAGAGAGGGCCGGCCAACACAAGGAAGAAAAUGGUGAAUUUUUGUGAUUUUUUGAAGUAUUUAACACUUAGUCAAAAAUAGUCAAAAGUAUGAAUAGUGUUUCUUAAGUCAACCCAAUGGUAGAGUGACACUUGUCACCCUCAUAAAUGCAUUCCAACCCUUUCUUUUCUCUCUCACAUCAAUCAAAUCUCACUCUCUACUUAUCUCUUAACACCCGAUAAAUUUUACACAGUAUCUGAAACUUAACCUUAUUGGCCGAAUUUUUCCGAACUUAUCGCACUAGUGGGUCCCACGUCCACUAUUUACUCUUAAUUUUCUAAAAAAGCACCAAUACUAGAAAAAUCAUCUUAAAACUAUAAUUGCUCAUAAAAUCCCCAGAAAAAUAUUUCUAAGCCAGAAAAUGCAAAAAUUAUGCACUUAAGGGGUAAUAAACCCUAGAAAAAUAUUAGGGUUUUACGGGUUCUCACAAUUUUUCUCAUUUUGCAGGUUUGUUUUAGGAAAAGAAAAACAAAAAAAGAAACAAAAAGAAGCAAAAAAAAAAGAAAGAAAAAAAAAGAG
RNAcentral lists this long non-coding RNA (758 nucleotides) under Coffea arabica (coffee). RNAcentral's name for it is "long non-coding RNA (CARA_LNC003372)". The record is from RNAcentral. Lineage: Eukaryota; Viridiplantae; Streptophyta; Magnoliopsida; Gentianales; Rubiaceae.